Molecule: long non-coding RNA, 43604 nt
Filed under: Musa acuminata (dwarf banana)
Lineage: Eukaryota; Viridiplantae; Streptophyta; Magnoliopsida; Zingiberales; Musaceae
Description: long non-coding RNA (MACU_LNC000772)
Source: RNAcentral
GCUUUGCGGGGUCCUUCUACCACCAAACCGCGAUAAGCAUCCCCUUCACCACCGUUGCAGACUUCAUCGCCGACGUCAAGAAGCUCCGCGACGCCCACUCCAACGCACUCUGCGGCACCGAGCUGUACUUUGGCUUCUUCAUGCGCUUUCUCCGCAACUCCACGGCCUAUCUUGGNNNNNNNNNNNNNNNNNNNNNNNNNNNNNNNNNNNNNNNNNNNNNNNNNNNNNNNNNNNNNNNNNNNNNNNNNNNNNNNNNNNNNNNNNNNNNNNNNNNNNNNNNNNNNNNNNNNNNNNNNNNNNNNNNNNNNNNNNNNNNNNNNNNNNNNNNNNNNNNNNNNNNNNNNNNNNNNNNNNNNNNNNNNNNNNNNNNNNNNNNNNNNNNNNNNNNNNNNNNNNNNNNNNNNNNNNNNNNNNNNNNNNNNNNNNNNNNNNNNNNNNNNNNNNNNNNNNNNNNNNNNNNNNNNNNNNNNNNNNNNNNNNNNNNNNNNNNNNNNNNNNNNNNNNNNNNNNNNNNNNNNNNNNNNNNNNNNNNNNNNNNNNNNNNNNNNNNNNNNNNNNNNNNNNUGUGUCACUUCCUCUUUGAAUAAACGACGUAAUGUCAGUCAAUAAUUGCUACAUAAUAUUAUAUUGUAAUAUUAAAGCAAGGGUCGACAAAUGCUAUAUUGUAUGGGAGGCUGAUUACGUUCCUUCUGAUUUAUCUGUACUGGUCCAAGAUGACUUAUACAAGCCAUUCUAUGGAACUAUAAUGUCUUAAUCAAUUUCUUUAUGGGAAAACAAUUAGUGCAUAAUUUCUCAUUAUUUUUAAUAGCAAGAUCCCAAUGUGACUCGCCAGUAUCCGUUGCAUGAAAGGGACGAGGUAGCAAGAAAUAACGGUGCCAUUAUUAGUGCCAUCGUGUGGAGAGACAUAGUAUGUUAACGUGAUAUUCUUCGCUGUUGCUAAAGGAUGAAUAUCUAGAUCCAUUCGAUUAUGAGUUAUAUACGACUUACGAGUCUUACAUUCAUGAAAAAUUAACCAACUCUCUAUUUAGUGGAAUGAGAGAGAGAAUUAUUGAGUUGCUGGAACUUAUACAUAGUGAUGCAUGUGGUCCUGUGUUUAUUCAUGCCAUAAAAGGUUAUUCUUAUUUUAUUAUAUUUACUGAUGAUUUCUUUAUAUAUGAACAAGUAUACUUGAUGAAAUACAAGUCCAAGACCUUCUAGAAAUUCAAAAAUAUAAGAAUAGUGUAGAAAAUUAGAUUGGAAAGAGUAUCAAGACUCUUCAAUCAAAUCGAGAAGGUGAGUACUUAAGUGUAAAGUUUACACAGUUCCUCAAGGAUCAUGAGAUUCUAUCUCAAUGGAUACCUCAUUAUACACCUCAACUCAAUAGUAUAUUGGGAACGAGGAAUCGCAUGUUGGCACGCUAUUAAAAAUGGUGUGGUCUAUGAUGAGUUUCGCCAGCCUACCCAUCUCAUUCUAAGGAUAUGCCUUAGAGUCUGCAGCUUGCCUUCUGAACAGAAUUCCGAUUAAGUCGGUAGUGUCUACACUAUAUGAGAUAUAGAAAGGGAAGAAGUCUGAUCUUAAGGUUGUUAAGAUUUGAAGCUGCCCUGCCCACGUUAGAACAUACAACCCCGACAAAUUGAAAUCUAGGACGGAACGAUGCAAAUUCAUAGGAUAGCCUGAGAAACCUUGUGGGUAUUAUUUCUAUCAUCUCGAGGACUAAAAAGUCUUUGUAGCUAAGAGGGUAGUAUUCCUUGAGAAAAAACACAUUCUCGGUAGAGAAAAUAAGAGCAUGAUAGAGUUGAGUGAGGUUUGAGAACCACAACCCGAGUUUGUUUAGAUACAUAGCACAUAAAUUUUGACUUUAUGUAGGUCCAACAUAGUACCCCAUCCUCCUAAAAGAUAUGUGAGAUAUAUCAAAAGAGAUGAUGUUGAGGAUAUUGAUCUUUAGAUCUAUGAUGAGGCUAUUAUAAGUAUAGACUCCGUGAAGUGGCAAGAAGCAUGAACUCUAAGAUGGAUUCCAAGUAUUUCAAAAAGGUUUAGAACUUAGUUGAUGCACCUGAGGGUAUGUACCCAUUGGUUGUAAGUGUAUCUUUCAGAAGAUGAUUGGAGUAAAUAGAAAGGUGAAGAUCUAUAAAGAAAAGCUAGUGGUUAAGGGAUAUCAUCAAAGGUAAGGUGUUGACUAUGAUGAAACAUUCUCACUUAUAGUUAUGCUAAAAUUUAUUCGAAUUCUAUCGGUUAUUGCAACAUUCUAUGAAUAUGAGAUCUAGUAGAUGGACAUGAAAAUCAUGUUUCUCAACAACAACUUCGAGAAGGAGAUGUAUAUAAUAUAAUAUAAGAGAUUUGUGUCCAAAGAAUAUCCGUAUAAUAUGUGUAGGUUGCUUAAGUUCAUUUAUAAACUAAAGCAAGCUUUCCGAAAUUGGAACAUGAGGUUUGAUGAGACGAUCAAAUCUUAUUAUUUCGUUAAGAAUGAAGAUGAGCCUUGAGUGUAUAGGAAGACAAGUGAGAGUGCUAUCAACUUCUUAGUACUAUAUAUGGAUGACAUUCUGAUCAUUGAGAAUGAUAUAUGAAUGCUCUUCAUGGUAAAAGCUUAGUUAUCUAGACAUUUUUUCAUAAAAGACUCAGGGGAAGUAUCAUAUAUCUUGGCGAUUCAGAUCUAUAGAGAUAGAUCUAAGAGAAUACUUGACUUGUCUCAAUUUAAGUAUAUAGACAUCAUUAUCAAAAAGUUUAACAUGAAAAAAUCUAAAAGAUCUCUCGUAUCGAUGAGAUAUGAGAUAUCACUUUCUAGGAGCAUGUCACUAAAUACUUUUGAAGAAAGGGCAAACUUAGAUAGGAUACCCUAUGCCUUAGGAUCUAUCAUGUAUAUUAUGUUAUAUAUCAUGCUUGAUAUAACGUAUGCUUUAUGUGUUACAAGUAAAUAUUAGGUGGAUCCAGGUUUAAAACAUUGGAAUGUAGUAAAAUAUAUAUUUAAAUACUUGAGAAGGACUAAGGAUCUUUUACUGGUAUAUAGAUGAAGUAGCCUCAGGGUUGAGGGUUAUAGAGACUUGAGUUUCCAAUCCGAUGUUGAUAAUAAUAAGUCUAAUUUAAGGUAUAUGCCCUAAAUAGAGGAGUAGUAUGCUAGAAAAGUUUCAAGCAAGAUACUACUACUGACUCGACCAUAGAAGCGGAGCACAUUACUGUAAUAAAAGCAACGAAAGAAAGAGUUUGAAUGAAAAAGUUCAUUACAGAUCUGAGCCACAAAGGCAGUAGUGGCCCACAUGCCACCUUGUUCUUUACACAAGGGUUAUGAGUGAAGUACACAUAGGUAGGGCCAUAGUGCUAGUCAUAGGUGUCGUACAAGCCAAUCAUGUGAGUGAUGAUACAUAUGACAUGAUACGUACUCUUUUUACUUAUUAUUUUUUUUAUAUUUUUCUUACUUUAUGUUGCAUGUUGCAUGUAUAUUGAUGUCUACGAAUAUGCACAAUGAGAAUUAAAUUGUGAUAAGAUCACAAUAAUAAGAUCGAUUCACCUUUAAAUAUAGACCAUAAAAAAUCAUAAUUAUAGGUUACUCGAAAGUGACAUCGAAAUAACUGGACAGAUUGGUGUAUUGUAUACCUUUCUAUAUGAUGGAGAUAGUUGGUUUUAUAGUUUCUUGUGUGAGGACACUAGGGAUAUAGUACAAGUAUUAAUUGAAGAAUGAGUUUACUGAUUGAUCCACUCACGAAAUACUGGAUGGUUGAUGAUACCUCAUUGGGUGUAACAACCAAUCUUAGUAGGCUAAUUGAGUAUCGAUAGAGGAUUAUCCACUCUCGGUAUCAUGAGAGAAAUAUUAUAUAUAUUCUUACUUAAGUAAAUCCCUAGUUAGGAUUAUUCGAAUUGAGAGAGAAAAAGUCUUUCGAGAGAAUUCGAUUAGAGCGAGACUCGAGUAAAAACUGUAUAGGCCUAAUAGCACCAUGAUCGGUAUAUGGUCUAUGAGAUAUUAGAAAGAUAAGAGACUAUAGAUACAUGGUAAUUGAGGACAAAUAGGUCCAAUGGAUUGGAUUCUCUUAUAACAUUUGAGGACUGCGACGUAGUGGCCUAGUAUGUUCAUAGUCGAUAAAUCAAGUGAAUUAUUAUAAAAGAUAAUAAUUCACUAAAUCAUAAGGAGUUCUAAUAUGACUCACGAUUAACUCAAUAUUGGGCCUAGAGGGUCACACAUAUAUGAUAGAUGUUGGAACAAACAAAGGUUCGGACAUGAGAUAUCCGUUGAAGCCCCUAUCUUAUUGGAUAUCCAGUAAUCCCUUGAAUUAUUGAAUAUCCAGUAAGUCCAUGAAUUAUUGGAUCUUGUACUCACUUUUGUAGGGGGAGCUGUGUCAUGGCAAUCCACAUUAUAAAGGCGUAGUGCUCUCUCCACCAAAGAGACAAAAUAUAUUGCUGCAGAGGUUUGCAAAAAAAUAUUAUGAAUAAAAUUUUUUUUACAAGAAUUGAAGCUGAAAUAAAAAAAGUUAUGUGGUAUAUUGUGAUAGCUAGAGUGCCAUCCACGUAUGUAAGAAUCCCAUUUUUUAUUCCAAGUUAAAGUAUAUAGAUGUUAGAUACCACUAAAAUUAAAAUAUAUUUAAAGAGAAGCAGUUGUAACAUCAGAAAAUUCAUAUAAAUGAUAACGGGACAAACAUGUUGACAAAGAUUUUGCUGAAAGAAAGAUAAGAAAUGUGCCGACGAUUGGUCGACAUGACUUCAUAUUUAAGAGCUGAAGGGGGAGGUUAUUGGGCACAUACCCAUUAAUUAAGUCCAUAGUAGACCUUAAUAAUGCAUAGCUCAAAACAACUAUUUAACCAUUUCUCUUUUACAAGGCAAAAAGGGGACUUGCUGUUGUUGUGGGCAUGGUUGAAAAAAGAAAAUUACAACAGUGGUGGUUGAGAGAAAAAAAGACAAGACAAUGUAGAAAUCGUUUUCAAUUAUCUGCGCACUAUUCUAGUCUCAGAUUUGAUCAGACUUGUAACAGAUUUUUAUUAUGAUUAUGAAAGGAAUGAGGUUUUAGAUAAUGUAAUCUUUGUAUUCUUAUUAUUCUCUUAUGAUUAUUGCUCAAAUCUAAGAUUUAUAAUAGAUUUAUACAUUCACUAUCGAGAUUUAUAUAUUUAUUAUUUUUAUAAUAGAUUUACUUCUUGGCUUACCAUAUGAUUUUUUUUUUCAUUUGUAUCGAAGAGGAUUUUUACAUACAUUUUGAUGUUCUAUGUGACUAAUUUUCGUUUAAUUUUUUUACUGCUUAUUACGAUCUACUCGUAUUUAUUCAUAUAUAAGUUUUUUUUACCCAUCAUAUUCCAAAAUAAUGAAGUUGGCUUCAUGCUACUAAUUUCUUUGACGGGAAAUGCGUCUAAAUGUGCUCGUCCAACUGAUGCUUUCUCAAUCUUGAUGUUCCAAUUGAUCAAACGCACAUUCGGUGUUCGUGAACAUACGUUGAAGAUCGCGGAAGGGGUUUUUUUGGCUUGCUGUGGAUUGUGUUGAGAAACACACGAGGCCAGAGAAGUCCCUGUGAAGUUGCGAAGGCAAGGGAAGAUAAUAGUGCAGGACAUUACCAAUGGCUUGGCUUUUAUUCCCUGUAAAGGCGAGGGAUGAGAUUGACUGAUGAUCUAAUAUUAUAUUGCAGUGUUGAGGGUGUCCAAUCAUCGGAGGUCUGACAGUAGCUGAAGGUGUGCCUUAAAAAACAAAAAACAGCAUGUCAGUAUGACAUGUCCUAUAAACAAUAAAAAAAAACUUUGUCAGUACGUGAUUAAGUUAAAAAAAAUAAAAAAGGUAUGUGAUUAAGUAAUUUAGUAGUUGAUAAGAGUAGACUGGCCUCUGAUGUGCUAUCCAGACUUCAUCAACCCAUGGUCAAUACCUUGGCAAUAUAAGGGUGACAGUUCAGCAACAUGUAGUCGGCUUUUCAACAUAAAAUAGAUAGGACAUGAAGCUUUUCAACUCCCAAUGUGUAAUAUGAGGCGGCCUCAUAGAUUCAAUGAAUUUACUGUCUACGUAAACUCAUAACUAUAUCUUUGAUUCUCAUGAUCAUUAUUCAAUUCCCUACAACUGUCUACUACACCAUAAAAAUAAACCUGAUUUGGAUUACACUCUAAAGACUUAUUUUUAUUAAGUUUAUUAAUUUAAGCAUUGAAAUAAUUUUAUCCUAUAUAGUCCCGAGUGAAUGGAUUUGAAGUUCAUUAUUCUUCUUAUAAUAUUCUUAGAAAAAAAGGUUCAUGGAUUUGAGUUAUCCUCUAGUCCGACAAUCAAAAUUCAUUGUAAUAUUAUAAAAUAAAAAUAAAGUAUGUGUCAAUUUUGAGUUUGUUUUGUCUAUGCUCGACGAUAGCAAGAGGGAGGGUUUGCUGCAGCCAUCCUUCUACUAUUUUGAUCCCAUCGUAAGGCAUGCAUGACCAACCAACCUUGCCCAAGAUAGUACUCCAUGCAACCAUCACUAGCAUAGUAUGUCAACACGAUCUUGGAUAUCAUUUCUUACGAUAAUAAUAAUGAUAAGAAUGUUGCGUCCCACGUUGAUGUUCUUGUCGGUUUUCUUAAAAUUCAACUCGGCUCACUUACGUGAUUGACAUAAAUGAGUCACAAUGGGUGCGUAUCUAAUUUUUUUUACUCUAAGCUCCUCUUAUUGGACGUCCAUGCAUCGAUAAGUAUAUCUAAGCAAUAUGGAUGACACGGCACCGAGACUUUUACGUAGACGUCUCUCGCACAUCAUCGCCGAUUUCCUCAGAGACUUUGAGACGCAAAACUGACAACUCUUCUACCUCUCUCUAUGAAUUAAGUACUUAAUCUCGUUCUUGCAUCACGCAGCCUUUACCCGGAACCGAGACAUUGACAAUUAUGAGCCAUAUCAACACUUCAUAUUUUUCAGGAUUGCAUAAUCUCUUGCUAAGUCAACGUGCUUUAUCUCCCUUAUUUUAUAUGAUUUUUUUCGGACACCUAAUUGUUACGUAAACCGUGAUCAAGCUAUCUAUCGAAUUUAACCUAUAUAUAUAUAUACCCAGACCAACUCUGGACAAUCAUCAUGGCUGCUACACGCAUUGCCCUGUUCGCGUCCGGCCUCGCCGUCUUGCUUCUCCUAGUCCAAGGAUCGCCACCAGGGCCCGUUGUCCAGUGCCGGUCCGGCAACACUAACUGCACCGUGACCAACGGCUAUGGAGCCUUCCCUGAUCGCAGCACCUGCCACGUCGCCGCGGUCGCGUACCCUUCGACCGAACAGGAGCUCCUGUUCGCUGUCUCCGACGCCACCGCGAAGCAGCAGCACAUGAAGGCGGUCACGAGGUACUCCCACAGCAUCCCCAAGAUGUCGUGCCCCGGCGGGCCGAGUGGCCAGGGCCUGGUCAUUAGCACCCAGCGCCUCAACAGAUCGGUGAGCGUGGACAUGGCCACCUCGCGGAUGACGUUCGAGGCAGGGAUCACACUUAGGCAGCUCCUCAACGCGGCGGCCGCCCGUGGACUGGCGCUGCCCCACUCGCCGUAUUGGCAAGGGGUGACGCUGGGAGGGCUGCUGAGCACCGGCUCGCACGGGAGCUCGUUGUUCGGGAAAGGCUCAGCGGUGCACGAAUAUGUGGUGGGGAUGAGGCUGGUGGUUCCAAGUCCGGUCCCGGUGAACGGAUACUACGCCAAGAUCGUUAACCUUGGUGAGGAUGAUCCUGAUCUCUUGGCUGCCAAGGUUUCUCUCGGUGUUCUCGGAGUUAUUUCUCAGGUAUAUAUGUAGUGACCUAAGUGUUAUUCUUUGUUCUUUACACAGUUUGAGAUCCAUGUGAUAACUCAUCUUAGUUCUUCAUCGUGGUUCUUCCAACCACGUCAAGUACUUUCAUGAACUGAGUGCAUGACUUGCCACGCCUCGAUGCUAACUAGGUGCAACUAUUUCUUUAAUUCUUCAUGAUAUAAUAGAGAUCAUCCUAUUGUUAUUAACAAGGCUUUGUUUGCAAUACGUCAGCAAAAUGUCUAGACAAAAAAAAAAUGUUUUCUACAAAUCACUUUACAAAGGAGAAGACCUGUUCUUUUCCUAGAAUCUAGAAAGUAAUGUAAAAUAAUAGGCAGUCGAUGAUCCCAGUGGACUUUAGUUUUAAUCUUUCCAUUUUUUCUUGGUUUGCUCGACUUCCUUGUUUCAAAAUGGGCUAAUGCAAACCUUUGAACCGUUCUAAUGAUUCCAUAUAGCUUCUCUCGUAGUUUAUAGUAACUACACAACACAAUUGAGUGUUAUGAAACAUAUGAGCACAUGCAAACCCACAUGGACAAAGAUCAGAGAAAAAGCAAACUUAUAUGAGAGCGAGUGCAUGAUUUGAAGCUUUGCAUUUACUUACAUCUUAUAAUGAAUAGUAUUUUCCUUGUAAGAACACCUACAGUGACGUUGAUGAUGGCUCGGUGUAAAUGAGAGUGGCCCUUCACAUACGGAGCCUCGCGCAAGGCAAGAGGCAGGCAGGUCCAUACUGCCUUGCCUUGCAGAGCUUACGACCGGGCCCACUAAUUGCCUUCAAAGCCUCUGUAAAAAGAACUACUACAUCGGACGAUAGAGGAUCCUAGUAGUAGUAUCUCUUGUUUCAAUCUUGUUGCCUGAAUAGCUGAAAAGAGUUGACUUGCAAUACAUGUAAGCUUUUGUUCUGCUGCUUCAUUAUAAGUAACCUAAGAAAUUACUUGAACCGAUCGAGCAGGUCACCCUCCAACUUGAGCCAAUGUUCAAGCGAUCCAUCACCAACAGGGUCGUAGGCGACGUUGGCUUCGAGCAAACCAUCUCCUCGUACGCUGUCACCACGUACUAUGGAGACCUCAGCUGGUAUCCGUCACAAGGCAGAGUGGUGUACCGCGAUGAUAUCAAGGUCCCCAUCACCACCAAAGGAAAGGGUGUAAACGAUCACCUUUUCCUUCGAGCACAGCCCACCCUCGACGUAGCCUCUACACGUGCUUCAGGUCUUAUAUAUUGCAGCUUUUAUUUUGCUUGACAAUCUUGAUGUAGUGUUCGAGCAGUAUCGUACGAGAUUUAUACUGACAAGGCAUCUCUUGUCCUCUACCAUGUGUUUGUGUUUAUGACUGCAGAGGAACUAUUGGAAUUAACAGGAAAUGCCGGAGGCAAAUGCGUGCUUUCCAGAUCGCAUGUAGAUACUCAGAUCGCGAACGGCAUGGGGCUUAAGAACAAUGACGGCGGCUUGUCAGAUUUCACCGGCUAUCCAGUCAUUGGAAACCAAAGCGACAUGCAAUCCUCCGGUGGGUUCUCCAAUUAUCCGAAGAAUGUAUAUGAUGACACAUGUUACACCUGUAUUCUGUAUUAUUUAGUCUGAGGCAUCUUCUCUCCAGGUUCGUGCCUAAGGAGUGCAGAAGACAACCUUCUCACAGCCUGUGCAUGGGACCCUCGCUUUGCGGGGUCCUUCUACCACCAAACCGCGAUAAGCAUCCCCUUCACCACCGUUGCAGACUUCAUCGCCGACGUCAAGAAGCUCCGCGACGCCCACCCGAACGCACUCUGCGGCACCGAGCUGUCCUUGGGCUUCUUCAUGCGCUUCCUCCGCAACUCCACGGCCUAUCUUGGNNNNNNNNNNNNNNNNNNNNNNNNNNNNNNNNNNNNNNNNNNNNNNNNNNNNNNNNNNNNNNNNNNNNNNNNNNNNNNNNNNNNNNNNNNNNNNNNNNNNNNNNNNNNNNNNNNNNNNNNNNNNNNNNNNNNNNNNNNNNNNNNNNNNNNNNNNNNNNNNNNNNNNNNNNNNNNNNNNNNNNNNNNNNNNNNNNNNNNNNNNNNNNNNNNNNNNNNNNNNNNNNNNNNNNNNNNNNNNNNNNNNNNNNNNNNNNNNNNNNNNNNNNNNNNNNNNNNNNNNNNNNNNNNNNNNNNNNNNNNNNNNNNNNNNNNNNNNNNNNNNNNNNNNNNNNNNNNNNNNNNNNNNNNNNNNNNNNNNNNNNNNNNNNNNNNNNNNNNNNNNNNNNNNNNNNNNNNNNNNNNNNNNNNNNNNNNNNNNNNNNNNNNNNNNNNNNNNNNNNNNNNNNNNNNNNNNNNNNNNNNNNNNNNNNNNNNNNNNNNNNNNNNNNNNNNNNNNNNNNNNNNNNNNNNNNNNNNNNNNNNNNNNNNNNNNNNNNNNNNNNNNNNNNNNNNNNNNNNNNNNNNNNNNNNNNNNNNNNNNNNNNNNNNNNNNNNNNNNNNNNNNNNNNNNNNNNNNNNNNNNNNNNNNNNNNNNNNNNNNNNNNNNNNNNNNNNNNNNNNNNNNNNNNNNNNNNNNNNNNNNNNNNNNNNNNNNNNNNNNNNNNNNNNNNNNNNNNNNNNNNNNNNNNNNNNNNNNNNNNNNNNNNNNNNNNNNNNNNNNNNNNNNNNNNNNNNNNNNNNNNNNNNNNNNNNNNNNNNNNNNNNNNNNNNNNNNNNNNNNNNNNNNNNNNNNNNNNNNNNNNNNNNNNNNNNNNNNNNNNNNNNNNNNNNNNNNNNNNNNNNNNNNNNNNNNNNNNNNNUGUGUCGCUUCCUCUUUGAAUAAAAGACGUAAUGUCAGUCAAUAAUUGCUACAUAAUAUUAUAUUGUAAUAUUAAAGCAAGGGUCGACAAAUGCUAUAUUGUAUGGGAGGCAGAUUACGUUCCUUCUGAUUUAUCUGUACUGGUCCAAGAUGACUUAUACAAGCCAUUCUAUGGAAAACAAUUAGUACAUAAUUUCUCAUUAUUUUUAAUAGCAAGAUCCCAAUGUGACUCUCCAGUAUCCGUUGCAUGAAUGGGACGAGGAAGCAAGAAAUAACAGCGCCGUUAUUAAUGCCAUCGUGUGGAGAGAUAUAGUACGUUAACGCGAUAUUCUUCGCUAUCGCUCCUUAAAAUAAUAAUGAUGAUUAAUGAUAAUAUAGCCUAAGACUCACGUAAAUGUUCUGAUGAAUUUUACAUAAAUUACACUUGACCCACGUUUCAUGGCAUAAAUGAAAUGGUAGUUCACACCGGUUCCAUUUCAAAAUUUUGACUCAAAGCUCGUCCUAUGGAUCGCUAGAAUAAACCAUAUGAUAAGCUACAUAAAUACGGAAAUCACAAAGAAGGAUGAUUACUGUAAUUAUGCCUUCCUCGAUCCCCCCAACCCCAAGAAACUAUUGCUCUCUAUAAAUAACUCUAGGGCGCAGCAUCCAAUCAUUGGUUUGUUCCUUUCUCAUCCUCGCAGUAUAAUUUAGAGAUAGGAAGUGGUCGCACCAUGAUCGAGGGAAACAGCAGCGAGAGCAAGCUGAGCCAAUACAUCCGGUCCCCGACCGGGCGCUCCGGCAUGCACGGGACUUGUACGAGAGCAGCAUGGCCGGGACCGAUAAUAUAUGUAUACAUGUCUUGUGAUAAUCUCACGUAAGCUCAUUCAUCUACACAAAAUAACUAGUUUUAGAUCGGGCAAGACAUCCAGAAGUAUUGAUUGUUUAAUAGACGACAGUGUUUAUUUAUGUGCGUGCUUGUUUUCAUCUUAAAAAAAGGAAAUGGCGAAUUCCUAAAACAAUUAUCAACUUUAAGAAUUUUUCAAAUAGCAUUAUAGCAAUUUUUUUAAGACAGAUCAUUCUACCUCUAUCGGCCAUCAUCUUCGCCUUCACAUUGCCAUCGUUGCAGUCCCCCAUAGCCCUCACGCUAGGAAAAUUGGAUUGCGAGGGCCAUUAAUUUCUUCCUGCACCACCUCCCCUCCCCUCUGCUGUAUUAGGCCAAUCAUAUGCAGUCUUCAUGCGAGGAAGGAAGAGACAUGAGAGGAGUCAUCGCCUUUGUAGACUCACCCCUAUACACUUCGCUCGUAGCUCUCGUGUGAGGAAGAACAUGGUGGGAGGGUGGCACCUUCGCAGAUUUGGCCCCUGUCAAACCCAUCAUAAUCUAAUUUAGAUUAUACUAUAAAGACUUAGACUUUUACUGAGUCAACUGAAUCUUUUGAUAAUGCAAAUAUUAUAUAGGUCUUAUCAGGUAUGUUCUCAUAUCUUUUGACAAUACAAACAUUAUAUGGGCAUGUUCUCAGUUCAAUAUUGUAGUUUUGCAAGUCUGAUGUGAGUAGAUUUGGUGUUCUACCUGGUUCUUUUUAUGAAAUUUUUGAAAAAAAAAAUCUAUCUAAUAUGUAUUGUCAAAACAUAAACAUAAUCUAAAAGUAUCUCUUAGAUAUCUUAAUAUCUAUUUUACUAUUAUCUAAUAUUCUUUAUCAAGAUUAGAGAGAAAUGAACUGACAACUCGAACUGCAUGAGCUAUAUCUAGCCUAGUACAUAUCAUAAUAUACAUCAAACUAUUUACCGCAAAUGAAUAAGGCACUUUGAAUAUUUCUUCUUUUUCUUUCUCACUUGUAGGAUCUCACUUAUAGGAUAUUGUUUCGAACUAAGUAUAAAAUGACCUACAAGUGGAGAACAAACUAGUUAAGUUUUAUUUAUUUUAAAAUUUUCAAGAAUAUUUUUAAUAUAGGACUCUUGAGAUAGCCAAAUCAUUCCAUUCUACACCCACACACACACGAACCUCCAAGAGUUCUAGUUUGUAUACUACAAACAUCAGUAAACCAAAUCAAUAACAUUUGAUAUUCUAAAUGAUGAAUAAGUAUGAAAGGUAACUAUAUAUUUUUUUUCUACUAAGCAAUGAUCACAAGAUUUAAAAGAUGUAUCUUACAACUCUGGUAAGAACUAUUUUCUAGCAAGAGUUUGAAGUCCUUUCUUGCUGAUAUGACCAAGCCUCUUAUGCCAAAGAUUUAUACUUUCACCCUUUUGAAUUGCAUUAAUCUCUCCUUUAUAUAGCUUAGCUUCUAUGACAUAGAAAGAGUUUAGCUUCUUUACUCUCAUCACAACUAGAUAACUUUUGGUAAGCUUUCAUUUGCUUUCACCAAAAUAGUGUACAAAUCUCUCAUCACCAAGUCUAUAUAUAGAUAUCAAGUUAAGACGAAUAUCUGAAACAUAUCUAACAUAUUUGAGUAUCAAUUUGCUCUCAAUAUUGGUCUCUAACCAAAUAUCUCAAAUACCCAUAAUCUUUGACGUACUAUUAUUUCCUAUUUUAAUAUUACUAAAAUCAUCAAAAGUGUAAGAUACGAAGAAAUCAUUAUAAGAAAUAAUAUGGAAUGAAGCACCGGAGUUAAUUACCCAGUUACUGUUCUAAGCUGCAAGACUGAUACAUCUGUCAUCACAAACAAUAACGAUAUCACCUUUAAUAACAACUGUAUUGUGUCUCUUUCUUAUUUUUCUUCCUUUCAUUCUGUUCUCACUUUCAAAACCUAUACUCUUUUUUCAUAUAACCUGACCUGUUAUAGUAGAAACACUUGAUAUCUCUUCUAGACUUAAAUCUUCCUCUGUAACCAUGUAGAUUUUUACUAUGACUUCUUUCAUGUCUUUCUUAUUUUUCAAUAACAAGUGUACUAGAAGAAGAUUCUCCUUGUUCAUUCCUUUUGACAUCUUUAUUAAGAAAAUUAUCUUUAACAUGUCUAUGGUUAGAGUCUCUUUUGGCAUGAAGUAAAAAUUGUCACCACGUACGUUUCCUAACUUUGUGGAAAAGAGCUGAGAAGUAACAAUCCUUAUAUCUCAUUAUCUAUAUUCAUUUUUAUAGCAACUAACUUAUUUGUAAGACUCUGAAACAAGCUUAUGUGCUCAACAAUAUUGCCACCAUUUUCACAAAGAGAUUUUCUAAUCUUUACCAAACAACAUCAGCUUUGGUUUCAUAAAUAAUAUGCUUAUGUAAAUUUAUAUGCAUCCAUUUUCUAAUAUACGUAAUAGUUUUUGUAUAUUGAUCCUUCCAUUCCUCAUCAUAGAAGGUUUUUCUUUGAAAUUGAUGAUCGUAUACAAAUCGUUACAAUAGAAUAAAUCUUUCAUCAUAUGUCUCCAAGUGAAAUAAUUUGAUAAGUUCAAUUUAAUCAUAUCAUUUGAUUCUUAUAUUUCAAUCACACAAAAAAACUAGCACCAAAUAAUAUGAUGCUCUGAUACCAUUUUGUGGGGAAAAAACUAUUGCAAUGGAAUUUUUUUUUUCCUAUUUGUGGAUCAAAAUGGGUACUUCACCAAAAUAUCGAUUUGUUAUCAAAAGUAAAUAUUAAUCGAAACAACAUAGUAGAACAAUGAAUCAAUCAUAAAGUGGUACAUUAAUUUUUUAUGAAAAAAUUCAUUGUCGAAAAAAUCACAAGACUAUAUUCCACUUCAAACCUCCACUAUUACUAAUAAUAAUAAUAAAUUUAUAAUAAAUUUUAUUCAGAAUAACUAGAGGAUCACAAUAACAUCAAGAAUACAAAUCUCGACUCAACAAUAACAUACAUGAAUUUUAUCAAAAAAAAUAUUUAAGUCUCAUCAAAUGAAUAUAUUAUAAAAGUAUAUCAGAAAAGAUAAAUCACAUAUCGACACCGUUAGUAUUGUAAAAAAUAUUAUAAAUAUUUUUCAUAUAAAAUUUAGAGCAAAACUGAUAAAAUUUACCCGCUUAAUUGUCUAACAACAACUUAAUAACCUUAACUUUUUCUUUCUUUUUCUCCCUAUCUUUUUAGUGGUUAUAGUGUUCGCACGUCCUUCACCGCGCAGGUCUGUCCUUUUUCUUUUUUUUUAAUAACUUUAUUGUCCAAUCCAAACCCACCCAAGCUGGUCCCAACAAUUUGUCUGAUCCCAUCGUAAGGAAUGCAUGACCACCAGACAACCUCCCCGACAGUAUCUGACGCAGACAUCACUAACCUUAUCGCUUUUAAAAAUAAUAAACUCGUGUCACACGUUGAUAUUUUUAUUGGUUUUAAUUAAUUUCCACUUGGCCCAUCCGAUUCACAGAAAUGACUUCACAGUUCUCAUUGCGUACGCAUCUAAUUUUUUAACAAAAUGGCUGCUCUUAUUGCAUGUCCGAGAAUCAGAUACGGAUGAUACGGUACUGCUUUUCCGUUGUCCUCCCUCCCACAUCAUCCCCGGUUUCCACAGACACUGGUGGAAGUAAAAUUGCCAACUCAUCUACCUCCCUAUAUCAAUUAAUUAUCUAAUCUCGUGCUUGCAUCACGUCUUCUGCAACCAUCAACCCGAGACAUCGACAGUUACGAGCAGUUCCAACACGUCUAUAAGAACGUCAGGUUCAUCGGGAUGGCAUAAUCUAUUGUUAAUCAACGGGCUUUACCUCCCUUAUUUUAUAUGAUUUUUUUUCGACACCUAAUUAUUGUGUAAACAGUGAUGAAGAUAUCGAAUUCACCUAUAUAUACAUUCCAUACCCAUACCCAUACACAGACCAACUCUGGACAGCCAUCAUGGCCGCCACCCACAUCGCCCUGUUUGCCUCCGGCCUCGCCGUCUUGCUUCUCCUGGUCCAAGGGUCGCCGCCAGGGCCCGUUGUUCAGUGCCGGUCCGGCAACACUAACUGCACCGUGACCAACGGCUAUGGAGCCUUUCCGGAUCGCAGCACCUGCCGCGUCGCCGCGGUCGCGUACCCUUCGACCGAAGAGGAGCUGCGGUUAGUUGUCUCCGACGCGACCGAGAAGCAGCAGCACAUGAAGGUGGUCACAAUGUACUCCCACAGCAUUCCCAAGCUGUCGUGCCCCGGCGGGCCGAGCGGCCAGGGCCUGGUCAUUAGCACCCAGCGCCUCGGCAGAUCGGUGAGCGUGGACAUGGCCACAUCGCGGAUGACAUUCGAGGCAGGGAUCACACUUAGGGCGCUCCUUGACGCGGCGGCCGCCCGUGGCCUGGCGCUAUCCCACUCGCCGUACUGGCAAGGGAUGACGCUCGGCGGGCUGCUGAGCACCGGCUCGCAUGGGAGCUCGGCGUUCGGGAAGGGCUCGGCGGUGCACGAAUAUGUGGUAGGGAUGAGGCUGGUAGUUCCAAGUCCGGUCCCGGUGAACGGAUACUACGCCAAGAUCGUUAAUCUUGGUGAGGAUGAUCCUGAUCUCUUGGCUGCCAAGGUUUCUCUCGGUGUUCUUGGAGUCAUUUCUCAGGUAUGUGUGUGGUGACCUACGUGUUGUUCUUUACACGAUUUGAGAUCCAUGUGAUAACUCAUCUUAGUUCUUCAUCGUGGUUCUUCCAACCACGUCAAGUACUUUCAGAAGCUGAGUGUACAUGACUUGCCACGUCUCGAUGCUAAUUAGGUGCAACUAUAUCUUUAAUUCUUCAUGAUAUAGUAGAGAUCAUCCUACUGUUAUUAGCAAGGCUGAAUACUUCCUAUCGUCAGCAAAAUGUCGAGACAGAAAAAAAAAACUUGUUUUCUAUCAAAUCACUUUACAAAGGAAGACUUGUUCUUUUCCUCGAAUCUAGAAAGUUACGUAAAUAAUAGGCUGUUGAUGAUCCCAGUGGACUUUACUUUUAAUCUUUCCUUCUUUUCUUGCUUUGCUUGUCUUCCUUGUUUCAAAAUGGGCUGAUGCAAACCUUUGAUCCGUUCUAAUGAUUCCAUGUACCUUCCCUCGUCGUUUAUCGUAACUACACAACAUAAUUGAGUGUUAUGGAAUAUAACCCACAUAGACAAAGAUCAGAGAAAAAGCAAACUUUGCAAAUAACAGCUACAGUGAUGUUGAUGAUGACUCUGUGUAAACGAGAGUGCCCCUUGUUGAUCUUGAUAGGAAGAAGGGAUAGAGUUAUCAAACAGUGGAAUAGUAAGACAAGCUUCAAUCUUCUAUAUUUUUCUCAAAAAAACUCUUUAUAAUUUCAAAAACUCUAUCUAUUUCAUGACCUAUGGGGUUUAUAUAGUCCCGAAAGAUAUAUUACAUUAAUUGUAUUCAAGAUAAAUAAUUUUUUUUCAAAAAAUUCGUUCAAAAAUCAAUAACCAUUUGGACUUAUUCUUCCAUAGACUUUAAUCUAUUUCUUCGUAAUGAAUCUUCUGCAAUGAAUAUUUCUUUUGAGGAAAUGAAUCUCUUUAUAACAUUUGAAAAAGUUUAAUUCCAGAAGAGACAGGCAGGUCCAUGCUGCCUUGCCUUGCAGAGCUUACGACCGGACCCGAUAAUUGCCUUAAAAGCCUCAGUAACAAUUAUUAGGUUGAAGGACGAUAGGGGAUGUCAGUAGUAGUAGUUCUUGUUUCAAUCUUGUUGCCGGAAUAGCUGAAAAGAGUUGACUUGCAAUACAUGUAAGCUUUUGUUCUGCUGCUUCGUUAUAGGUAACCUAAGAAUUACUUGAACCGAUCGCGCAGGUCACCCUCCAACUUGAGCCAAUGUUCAAGCGAUCCAUCACCAACAGGGUCGUAAGCGACGUUGGCUUCGAGCAAACCAUCUCCUCGUACGCUGUCACUACAUACUAUGGAGACAUCAGCUGGUAUCCGUCACAACGCAGAGUGGUGUACCGAGAUGAUAUCAAGGUCCCCAUCACCACCAAGGGAAAGGGUGUAAACGACUACUUAGGGUUCCGAGCGCAGCCCACACUUGUCGGAGCCUCUCUACGUGCUUCAGGUCUUAUAAAUUGAAGCUUUUAUUUUGCUUGUCAAACUUAAUGUAGUGUUCGAGCAGUAUUAUGCACACAUUUACGUCGACAUUUCGUCCGAGAUUUAUACUGAGAAGGCAUCUUAUGUUCUCUACCAUGUGUUUGUGUCAAUGACUGCAGAGGAACGAGUGGAGGCAACGGGAAAUGCGGAAGGCAAAUGUGUGCUGUUCAGAUUGCAAGUUGAUACUUUGAUUGCGACCGGCAUGGGCUUUAAGAACAAUGACGGCGGCUUGAUAGAAUUCACUGGCUAUCCGGUCAUUGGAAACCAAAGCGACAUGCAAUCCGCCGGUAGGUUCUCAAAUUAUCCGAGGAAUGUCUGCAUGUAUGAAUGAUAGCUCUUGAUGAUAAUGCUUCAUCACAAUAAUGACACAUGUAACGCCCGGAUUUAUUUACUCUGAGUCAUCUUCUUUCCAGGUUCUUGCCUAAGGAGUCCAGAAGACAACCUUCUUACAGCCUGUGGCUGGGACCCUCGUUUUGCGGGGUUCUUCUACCACCAAACCACGAUAAGCAUCCCCUUCACCACCAUCUCUGACUUCAUCGCCGACGUCAAGAAGCUCCGCGACGCCCAUCCCGACGCACUCUGCAGCACCGAGCUGUACUUGGGCUUCUUGAUCCGCUUCGUCCGCAACUCCACAGCUUAUCUUGGCAAAACCGACGACGUGGUGGCCAUUGACAUCACAUACUAUCGUUCCAAGGAUCCAAAACAGCCGCGACUAUAUGAGGAUGUGUUCGAGGAGAUCGAACAGAUGGCCUUGUUCAAGUACAACGGGCUGCCGCACUGGGGGAAGAACAGAAAUGUCGGCUUCCUCAAUGUCAAGAACAAGUUGGGGGCUAAGUUGGCCAAGUUUGUGAGUGUGAUGCAGAAGUAUGACAGCAAUGGAUUGUUCUCUUCAGACUGGACCGAUGCGGUGCUGGGACUGCGAGGGAAGGAAGUUGUGGUGCAGGGAGAUGGUUGUGCAAUGGAGGGGCUGUGCAUUUGCUCCACCGAUGACCACUGCGCUCCUAAACUAGGCUAUUAUUGUCGACCUGGGGAAGUCUAUGAGCAGGCUCGAGUUUGCCGGAAGAUAAAAUCCGUGGAAGCUGAUGGUUUGGCAUGGAGCGCAUGAUACCAUUCACAUUCAUUUGCUGUGAGGUUUAUUUCUGUGUCACUUCCUCUUCGAAUAAAGGAUGAAAUGUCAGUCAAUAAUUACUACAUAGUUUAUUAUUGUGAUAUUAAAGCAAGCGUCGAUAAAUGCAAUAUUGUAUGGGACGCAGAUUACAUUCCUCCCGAUUUAUCUGUACAACUCCAAGAUGACUUAUACAAGUCAUUCUAUAGAACUAUAAUGUCUUAAUAAAUUUUUUUUGGGAAAAAAAUUAGGACAUAAUUUCUCAUUAUUUUUCAUAGCAAGAUCCCAUUUUGAAGGAAACGAACGCUCUCCAGUAUCCUUUGCAUGAAAGGAACGAGGAAGCAAGAAAUAAUUGUGCCAUUCUUAACGCCAUCGUGUGGAGAGAGAUAGUAUGUUAACGCGAUAUUCUUCGCUAUCAUUUCUUAAAAUAAUAAUGAUGAUUAAUGAUAAUAACCUGCGACUCACGUAAAUGUUCUGAUUAAUUUUACAUUAAUUACGCUUGACCCACGUUUCGUGACACAAAUGAAAUGGUAGUUCACACCGAUUACAUUUCAAAUUUUUGACUCAAAGCUCGUCCUAUGGAUCGCGAGAAUAAACCAUAUGGUAAGAAGCUACAUAAAUAUGGAAAUCACAAAGGAGGGUGAUUACUGUAAUUAACCCUUCCUCGAUGCCCCCAACUCCAAGAAACUACUGCUCUCUCUAGGUAACUCUACGGCGCAGCAUCCAAUCUUAUGUUUUUUCCUUUCUCAUCCUCGCAGUAUAAUUUAGAGAUAGCAAGUGGUCGCACCAUGAUCGAGGGAAACAGCAGCGAGAGCAAGCUGAGCCAGUACAUCAGGCCCCCGACCGGGAGCUGCGGCAUGCCCCGGACUUGUACGAUAGCAGCAUGGCCGGGAUCGCCGGCAAGGCGCAGUGUGGCACCGUCAUCGCGCUGUCUUCGCGCCUAUGGCUUUGGGCUGUGCUCGCGGACGAGCAGCAGCGAGGAAGAGAUCAACGACCUCAUCGGCGCCGUUUGCAAGAGCAAGAUGCGGGCCAUCCCGGUGGAGGAUGGGACGCCGGUGCCGAGGAGCCACAGUGUGGCGACGUUGAGGAUAGACGAAGACAAGCCGUGUGACUUCGAGGACGACCUCACGGUGGCCCUGGGGCCAAGGAGCUGUGGCUACGAUGUUGCCACCGAGAGGAAGGUGGGCUUCUAAUAAGCUUCAAGUUAGCUUGUGCGGUGAUCUAACACGAACAGUAAACAUCCGAGCUUAUAUAUUGUACUGCUUUCGAGGGAGGAAAUAAGCAAUUCGUUGAGCCGUUGUCAUUCUUUGGGAACCAAAACUUAUUAGGAGAUAAAUCGAAUAGUAGAUAUUCGUCGCUUCUUUUAUGAAGCCUUGUUGUAUUUUACCUACUCACCACGUCUUGUGAUAAUCUCAUGUAAUAUCUACACAAAAUAACUAAGUUUUAGAUCGGGCAUGACAUCCUCAAGGAAUGAUUUUUUAAUAGACUACAGUGUUUAUUUAUGUGAGGAUUUGGCAUGCUUUUUUCAUCUUAAAAAAGGAAAUGUUAAAUUUCUAAGAAAAACCUCCUAACUUUAAGAAUUUAUCAAAUAACCCUCCAAUCUUGAGAAAUUUUUAUAGAGUAUUUCUUUUUCUUAAAUGAUCAUUCUACCCAUAUUGAUUGUCGCCUUUACCCUUGCAUUGUUAUUGCUGUGCUUGCCGGUGGCCUUCGCACAAGGAAGGAAGGGGUGCAAGAGUUGUCAUCUCCUUCCUGCACCACCUCCCCUCCCUUCUGCAUGCUGGACUUAUUGCUUACAGGCCUCACGCGAGGAAGGAGAAGGUACGAGGGCUAUUAUCACCUUUGCAGACCUCACUAACCCUACACUAACGCCUUGCUCACAACCCUCGCAUGAGAAAGGAGAGGACGUGAGGGCUGGGAUAGUAAUUCAAAUCCAAUCAAGGUCUAUUCCAAAUCAGUCACUAUUUGUAAUGCACUAAAUUUGUAAAACUAGGUUGAGGGGCAUUCUUGACAAAUAUUCCUUCAACGGCGAAUUGAAUUUUUAGGUUUGGACUAGUCGAUGAAGUGAAGUCAUAUCUUAGGAGUACAUGGGAGCCCUUUUUAUGAGUGAUACUAAGGAUGAUUAUUCCUAGAAUCACCGAUCGCAUAGGCCAGCCAUGUCAACCACGGGUUCAGAUGAUUGAUUAUCUGGUCAUGUAUCACCCCUUUAUGAGUAUAUGUCUUACGACCUGAUCAUCAUUUGUCUAUCGCGUGUGAUCCUCAUGCUCUUUGGCAAUCGAUCAGUUGGCUCAUUGGUCAUCGGCAAUGUUGUAUUUGACAUGUCACUUGUCACCUAUCACUUGCCCCCAACUUCUAGGUUGAUAGAUUGUAGGGCUAUCGAGUUAAGAAGUGCUCUAGCUUAUGCUUUUAACACUGAUAGUGGAUUUGUUCGUCAUCUUUUUGACAUAUGUCAUAGAAAUGCAUGUUCUGUCCGUUAAAGCUAUUCUAUCCAUUUAGUAUGUUUAACGCAUUCGGUUCAUUUAACCCGUUCUAUUCAUUAGUUGCUCUCCCUCUAACAUACAUUCCUUAAUAUAUCUUGGUUGCUCUCCCUCUAACAUAUCAGUAUAAAUUUUAGUUGUUUGAGUUGAGAUGAUAACUUAGAUCUAUCUGACGUUCAUUCCAAGUUAGUCUAACUCUAGAAAACCUACAAAUGCCCUAUCGUCGAUCAAGUCAGACUUGUCAGCCAAUACUAAAGUCAAGUCGGGUCCUGGAAGUGUACAUAAGAGUCUCUUUUAUUAGUAACUCUAAGAAUGGUUAUGUCUGGAAUCAUUGAUGGUAAGAGGGGAAUAUGUGCCACAUUCAAGCUGAGACUUGGCAUUCGUACAAGUAAAUGGUUGAUGUGAUCCGGGAGAGAGCAAGGCAUGUAAAUGAUUCAUAACAAGGGAACGUCUCUUACAAGUUCUCCAUUGACAGGUUCUUCCGACUUAGAAUUGGUCUAAUGUUUUCCGGCUUCUCCGUACCUCAGGAAAUGUUGGGUCUAGCCCAUACGUCAGCUUGGACUAGAUAAUUAAAUUUUUGAGCUCAAAUCAAUAAUUAAAAAAAAAAACUGCCUAUAGCGUUUUGACAAGCGAACGAUGGCGACGCACAGUCAAAUUAACAUAGAAAGAGAAAAGAGAAAAAAAAUAAGAUUUUGAGUUUUUCUUAGUUAACGAUCAGAGUCAAACUUGGAUCCAAAUUAUACAUGAAAAAUCUUUACAGUAGCCAGCUCUACAAUCCGCUGAUUUGUAGUUUACCCUUUAUGAGGUAUUUUCCAACUAUACUCAUUUUGUGAGACAAAAUUCUUUUUUUGAUGAGAUUCAUUCAUGUGAUGAUGAUAUACUAUUCUUGAGUCAAGAUAUGUGAUUUUGAUGUUAUUAUGGUUCUCUUGUUAUUUUAAAGAAGACUUAUUGUAAACCUAUAAUUAUUAUUAGUGAUAGUGGAAGCUUGAAGUGGACUACGAUCCCUAUUAUUAUUAUUAGUGAUAGUGGAAGCUUGAGGAGGACUACGGUACGUGGUUUUUUCCGCAUUAGGUUUUUCACGUUAAUAUUUGGUCUUACUUUGUGAUUGAUUCAUUGUUUUGUUAUUUAUGUUGUUCUGGUUUAUAUGUACUUUUGAUAUCAAGCUGGUUUUUGAUGAGAAACUUAUUUUAAUAGACAAAAAGAAAAAAAAUUAUUUUAUUUUAAUAGGUUUUUCCCAACAAGAAAUUGAGUGAAGAACUCUAUUUAACCGACUUCAAGUCGGCACGACCCUCUUCGCAUCCAAUGUUAGUGUAGCGCUAUGACCUAGGAAGAAGAAGAGGGAACAAGCUGAUGCGGUACAUCAAGGCCUCUCAUCGAGCACUGCUACGUGCCCGGGACUUGUACGUGAACAGCAUGGCUGGAUGCGCCAGAAGGGCCCAGGGCGAGCCGACGAUCAUCGCGAUGCCGCACGCCCAGAGCCACAUAUAUACACACACAAACGCGCACACACAAUAAAAGUAAUAUAAUUAUUGAUGCCCAUGCAAAAAGAUUUUAUAUCAUUUUUAUUUAAUUCGCUCACGUGGAUCAAUCGAGUUGUCCAUGUGUUAUUAUCCAUUAACUUGCUUUUAUCUAUUAUAUAAUAACGAUUGGAUCAUGAGCUGGCUUUCUCAUCUGCGUGCCAAUCCAAACGCUUCUAUACUGUGCCAUCGACGACUUCAAUAUCUUUGAUUUGCUCACAUCUCAAAGCCAAAAAAAAGGAAAAAUGAUGAGUACCUACAGUAUAUGACAAUUAGUUAGACCGAUUCUUCUAAAUUUUCUGAUCCCAUCGUGAGGCGUGCAUGACCAGCGUACUUUCCCCACUGUAUUUUACUCGACCAUCACUAACCUCACCGCUAUUAUAGAAAUAGUAUGUCAACACGAUCUUGGCUGUCAUCANNNNNNNNNNNNNNNNNNNNUUUUCUUACAAUAAUAAUAAUGAUAAGAACCUUGCGUCCCAAGUUGGCUCACGUGAUUGAAAUAAAUGACUCGAAUUGGGAACAAUACCCAUAUGCAGAUUCAUUGGGAUGGCAGAAUCUCUUGUUAAGUCAACGGGCUUUACCUCCCUUAUUUUAUAUGAAUUUUUUUCUGACACCUAAUAAUUUUGUAAACAGUGAUCAAGAUAUCGAAUUCACAUUCUCCUAUAUACACAUUACAUACCCAUAUGCAGACCAACUCUGGACAGUCAUCAUGGCCGCCACCUACUUUGCCCUAUUCGCCUCCGGCCUCGCCGUCUUGCUUCUACUAGUCCAAGGAUCGCCGCCAGGGCCCGUUGUCCAGUGCCGGUCCGGCAACACUAACUGCACCGUGACCAACGGCUAUGGAGCCUUUCCUGAUCGCAGCACCUGCUGCGUCGCCGCGGUCGCGUACCCUUCCACCGAACUGGAGCUCCUGUUAGCUGUCUCCGACGCCACCGAGAAGCAGCAGCACAUGAAGGCUGUCACGAUGUACUCCCACAGCAUCCCCAAGCUGUCGUGCCCCGGAGGGCCGAGCGGCCAGGGCCUGGUCAUUAGCACCCAGCGCCUCAACCGAUCGGUGAGCGUGGACAUGGCCACCUCGCGGAUGACGUUCGAAGCAGGGAUCACACUUAGGGAGCUCCUUGACGCGGCGGCCGCCCGUGGCCUGGCGCUACCCCACUCGCCGUACUGGCAAGGGAUGACGCUCGGCGGCCUGCUGAGCACCGGCUCCCAUGGGAGCUCGGUGUUCGGGAAGGGCUCGGCGGUGCACGAAUAUGUGGUAGGGAUGAGGCUGGUGGUUCCAAGUCCGGCCCCGGUGAACGGAUACUACGCCAAGAUCGUUAAUCUUGGUGAGGAUGAUCCUGAUCUCUUGGCUGCCAAGGUUUCUCUCGGUGUUCUUGGAGUCAUUUCUCAGGUAUGUGUGUGGUGACCUACGUGUUAUUCUUUGUUCUUUACACGGAUUGAGAUCCAUGUGAUAACUCAUCUUAGUUCUUCAUGGUGGUUCUUCCAACCACGUCAAGUACUUUCAUAAGCUGAGUGUACAAGAUUUGCCACGUUUCGAUGCUAAUUAGGUGCAACUAUAUCUUUAAUUCUUCAUGAUAUAAUAGAGAUCAUCCUACUGUUAUUAGCAACGCUGAAUACAUCCUAUCGUCAGUAAAAUGUCGAGACAGAAAAAAAAAACUUGAUUUCUAUCAAAUCACUUUACAAAGGAAGACUUGUUCUUUUCCUUGAAUCUAGAAAGUUACGUAAAUAAUAGGCUUUUGAUGAUCGCAGUGGACUUUACUUUUAAUCUUUCCUUCUUUUCUUGCUUUGCUUGUCUUCCUUGUUUCAAAAUGGGCUGAUGCAAACCUUUGAACCGUUCUAAUGAUUCCAUGUACCUUCCCUCGUCGUUUAUCGUAACUACACAACAUACUUGAGUGUUAUGGAACAUAUGAGCACAUGCAAACCCACAGAGACAAAGAUCAGAGAAAAAGCAACCAUUGCAAUAACAGCUACAGUGACGUUGAUGAUGACUCGGUGUAAAUGAGAGUGCCCCUUCCUUCACAUAUGGAGCCUCGAGCAGGGCAAGAGGCAGGCAGGUCCAUGCUGCCUUGCCUUGCAGAGCUUACGACCGGGCCCACUAAUUGCCUUAAAAGCCUCAGUAACAAUUAUUAGGUUGAAGGACGAUAGGGGAUGUCAGUAGUUGUAGUUCUUGUUUCAAUCUUUUUGCCUGAAUAGCUGAAAAGAGUUGACUAGCGAUACAUGUAAGCUUUUGUUCUUCUGCUUCAUUAUAAGUAACCUAAGAAUUACUUGAACCGAUCGAGCAGGUCACCCUCCAACUUGAGCCAAUGUUCAAGCGAUCCAUCACCAACAGGGUCGUAAGCGACGUUGGCUUCGAGCAAACCAUCUCCUCGUACGCUGUCACUACAUACUAUGGAGACAUCAGCUGGUAUCCGUCACAACGCAGAGUGGUGUACCGAGAUGAUAUCAAGGUCCCCAUCACCACCGAAGGAAAGGGUGUAAACGACUACUUAGGGUUCCGAGCGCAGCCCACCCACGUCGGAGCCUCUCUACGUGCUUCAGGUCUUAUAAAUUGCAGCUUUUAUUUUGCUUGUCAAACUUAAUGUAGUGUUCGAGCAGUAUUAUGCACACAUUUACAUCGACAUUUCGUCCGAGAUUUGUACUAAGAAGGCUUCUUUUGUCCUCUACCAUGUGUUUGUGUCUGUGAAUGCAGAGGAACGAGUGGAGGCAACGGGAAAUGCGGAAGGCAAAUGUGUGCUGUUCAGAUUGCAAGUUGAUACUUUGAUUGCGACCGGCAUGGGCCUUAAGAACAAUGACGGCGGCUUGUUAGAAUUCACCGGCUAUCCGGUCGUUGGAAACCAAAGCGACAUGCAAUCCUCCGGUAGGUCCUCCAAUUAUCCGAAGAAUGUAUAUGAUGACACAUGUUACACCUGUAUUAUAUAUUAUAUGGUCUGAGCCAAAUUCACUCCUGUAUUCUGUAUUAGUCUGAACCAUCUUCUCUCCAGGUUCGUGCCUAAGAAGUGCAGAAGACAACCUUCUCACGGCCUGUGGAUGGGACCCUCGCUUUGCUGGGUCCUUCUACCACGAAACCGCGAUAAGUAUCCCCUUCACCACCGUUGCAGACUUCAUCGCCGACGUCAAGAAGCUCCGCGACGCCCACCCCAACUCGCUCUGCGGCACCGAGCUGUCCUUGGGCUUCUUCAUUCGCUUCCUCCGCAACUCCACGGCCUAUCUUGGCAAAACGGACGACGUGGUGGAGAUCGACAUCACAUACUACCGUUCCAGGGAUCCAAAACGGCCGCGACUCUAUGAGGAUGUGCUCGAGGAGAUCGAACAGAUGGCCUUGUUCAAGUACAAUGGGCUGCCGCACUGGGGGAAGAACAGAAAUGUCGGCUUCCUCAAUGUCAAGAACAAGCUGGGGGCUAAGUUGGCCAAGUUUGUGAGUGUGAUGCAGAAGUAUGACAGCAAUGGAUUGUUCUCUUCAGACUGGACCGAUGCGGUGCUGGGACUGCGAGGGAAGGAAGUUGUGGUGCAGGGAGAUGGAUGUGCACUGGAGGGGCUGUGCAUUUGCUCCACUGACGACCACUGCGCUCCUAAACUAGGCUAUUUUUGUCGACCUGGAGAAGUCUAUGAACAGGCUCGAGUUUGCCGGAAGAUAAAAUCCGUGGAAGCUGAUGGUUUGGCAUGGAGCGCAUGAUACCAUUCACAUUCAUUUGCUGUGCGGUUUAUUUCUGUGUCACUUCCUCUUCGAAUAAAGGUUGUAAUGUCAGUCAAUAAUUACUACAUAGUUUAAUGAUGAUUAAUGAUAAUAACCUGCGACACACGUAAAUGUUCUGAUUAAUUUUACAUAAAUUACACUUGACCCACGUUUCGUGACACAAAUGACAUGGUAGUUCACACCGAAACUACUGCUCUCUAUAAAUUACUCAACGGCGCAGCAUCCAAUCUUCUGUUUGUUCCUUUCUCAUCCUCGCAGUAUAAUUUGGAGAUAGGAAGUGGUCGCACCAUGAGCGAGGGAAACAGCAGCGAGAGCAAGCUGACCCCGUACAUCAGGCCCCCGACCGGGCCGCUGUGGCAUGCCCGGGACUUGUACGAGAGCAGCAAGGCGCAGAGUGGCACCGUCAUCGCGCUGUCUCGCGCCUAUGGCUUUGGGCAGUGCUCGCGGACGAGCAGCAGCGAGGAAGAGAUCAACGACCUCAUCGGCGCCGCUUGCAAGAGCAUGAUGCGGGCCAUCCUGGUGAAGGAGGAUGGGCUGGUGCCAAGGAGCCACCGAGUGGCGACGUUGAGGAUAGACGAUGACAAGCCGUGUGACUUCGAGGACGACCAAGAGGAACGAUGCCAAGGAGCUGUAGCUACGAUGUUGCCACCAAGAGGAACGUGGGCUUCUAAUAAGCUUCAAGUUAGAUUGUGCGGUGAUCAACACGAACAGUAAACAUCCGAGCUUAUAUAUUGUACUGCUUUCGAGGGAGGAAAUAAGCAUUUCGUUGAGCCGUUGUCAUUCUUUUGGAACCAAAACUUAUUAGGAGAGAAAUCGAAUAGUGAAUACAGAAGAAGAUAUUCUUCACUUCUUUUGUGAAGCUUUGUUGUAUUUUACCUACUCACCAUGUAUUUUACACAAAAUAACUAGUUUUAGAUCGGGCAUGACAUCCUGAAGGAAUGAUUGUUUAAUAGACUACAAUGUUUAUUUAUGCGAGGAUUUGGCAUGCUUUUCUCAUCUUAAAAAAAGGAAAUGUUAAAUUUCUAAAAAAAGACCUCCUAACUUUAAAUUAUCAAAUAACGCUCUGAGAAAUUUUUUUAGAGUAUUUUUUUCUUAAACAAUCAUUCUAUCCAUUGUCAACUCUAUCCAUGCAUUGUUAUUAUUGUAUUUACAUGUGGCCCUCGCAUAAGGAAGGAAGGGGUGCAAGAGUUGUCACCUCCUUCCUGCACCACCUCUCCUCCUCUUGUCAUGCUGGAUUUGUUACUUAUAGGCCUCACUCGAGGAAAGAGAGGGUACGAGAGCCAUUGCCACUUAUGCGGACCCCACCAACUCUAUCCUAGCGCCUCGAUCACAACUUUCAUAUGAGAAAGGAGGGGACGUGAGGGCCGUCAUCGUUUCUGUGGACCUUACUAGCCCUAGGACCUUGCUAGACUCUAUUGGACUUGUUGCCCGUAGCCCUUACACAAGGAAAGAAGGGUUGUGAGGGUCGACGCCACCACCAUCUUCACAGACCACUACGACCCUGCUUAUAUGCACUUCACUCGUAACCCUUGUGCAAGGAAGAAGGUGGCACAUGUGCUAUCGUUGCCUUUGUGGAACCUAUUAGUCUCCGUCAAACCUGUUGUCACUCUGCACCACCCCCCCUUUCCUCGCACGAGGGCCAUAGUGUGCAAGGGUUGUGAGUGACAGAUUAUAUGAAGUAGAGGAGAGGAUAGGUAGUGCAUGGAGUAAGGGCACAAGUGAUUAUAGAGGGAGGAGGAGAUAACUAUAGGUCUAAUAGAAAUAGAGAUAAAAUAAUAUUUUUAUAUAAUCAAGAUACUCUAUGAAUUUCUUAAAGUUAAAAGGCUCUGUAAAAAAUUCAUAAUGUUAAAUCUAAAAAAAAAAUAAGGAUUUGACGUGCGUCCGACAAGCCUCCUUCCUGGAGAGGAUCAACACACAGCUAGUUAGUAGGGGAUUCAGUAACUUUCCUUUUUUUUUCCCUUUAAAAAUAUGAAGUUUCAUAACUUAUCAAAAAGAGGUCCAAAUUGUACAUUUAUACCAAUAAAUUUGAAUACUACAAGUUUUUCUCUUGCAACUAAUACACACACAUAUACUACAGUUUUGCCCCAUACAAAUCGAAUAACAAUGAGUAUAGUUUUGACCCUUCCAUGUAUAGAAAUUAAAUAAAAAUUAGUUUGAUUCAAUUCAAAGAGUUAAGUUUCUAUAUUGUGGACCAAAUUAAGUAUAUAUAAUCAGACUCUUUUAAUUCUUAAUUAUACUAGAUUAUCCUCUUAGUUUAUUUUAUUUCAAUUUAGACAUGAAUAUUUUCAUUACAAUGUGAAUAAUAAAAAUAUCUUAAAAGUGAAGUCAUAUUUGGUUCUUUAUUAGACCUUACUUUUCAACUUUUGUAACGAUCCAACCAAUGACCUCAUUAUUGGCCAUGAAUGAAAUCUUGAAUUCUAAUUUUUAAGUAAAAUGUAACUUAUGAUAUUUUAGAUUAAUACAAGUUAACAAUUAUUAACUAUCAUUAGUUAUGAUUGAUUAAAAAUUGAAAUGUAGUAAUAGAAUAUGAUAUUACAAAAUGUUCACAUCAUAUUUCUUUCUUAAAAAAUAAUCUUGUUUAUACCAAACUCGAAUUCAAAAUCUCAUCUGAUAUAUUUUGAAGAUAUCAUCUAAUUUAGUUGGUGUUAGUGUAGAUUUUGAUUAUAUGAGCUAGGAUAAUUCUUCAAAUUGAAUCAAAGUCUAUUCCAAACCAAUCUCACUUCACAUCACUAUUAAUAAAGCACCAAACUUGUAAAACUAGGUCAAGAGGUAUUCUUGACAAAUAUUCCUUCAAUAAUCAAUUGAAUUCUUAGGUUUGGACUGGCUGAUGAAUAUUGAAGUGAAAUCAUAUCUUAAGAGUACAUGAGAGUCCUUUUUAUGGGUGAUACUAAGGAUGAUUAUUCCUAGAAUCACCGAUCACUUAGGCUAGUCGAUCACGAGUUCAAAUUAUCUAUCAUUUGGCCACAUAUCACCCCUUUAUGAGUAUAUAUCUUACUACCUGACCAUCAUCUGUCAAACGCGUGUGAUCCCCAUGCUCUUUGAUAAUCGACCCAUUGGCUUCUUGGCCACGUGUCGCAUUGUGGCAAUGUUGUAUUUGACAUGUCACUUGUCACCUAUCACUAGCCCCCCAUUUCUAAGUUGAUAGAUUAUAGGGCUAUAGAGCUAAGAAGUGCUCUGGCCUAUGAUUUUUACACUGAUAGCGAGUUUGUUCAUCAUCGUUUUGACAUAUGUCAUUGGAAUGCAUGUUGUGUCCAUUAAAGCUAUUCUAUCCAUUCAGUGUGUUUGACGCAUUCAGUCCAUUUGACCCAUUCCGUUGGUUAGGGUCGUUCAGCUCGUUCAAUCAAUUUGACAUGUUAGGCUUUUUAGGAUUUAACCUAGAUGGUACCACGAAGUUUUCUUAAGAUAUCUUAGUUGCCCUCUCUCUAACGCUAAUAUAUUAGUAUAAAUUUUAAUUGUCUGAAUUGAGAUGAUAACUUAGAUCCAACUGAGAUUCAUUGCAAGUUAGUCUUACUCUAGGAAACCUACAAAUGCCCCAUCGUAGAUCAAGUCAGACUUGUUGGCCAAUAAUAAAGUCAAGUUGGAUCCUCGAAGUGUACCUAGAGUCCCUUUUAUUAGUAACUCUGAGAAUGAUUAUGUCCGGAAUCAUUGAUGGUAAGAGAGGAAUAUGUGCCACAUUCAGACUGAGACUUGGCAUGAUAUUCAUCGAACCUUGUGUUCACAUAGGUUGGUUGUGCUAAUCAUGGGUUUGGACGAUCGACUAUUCAUCCACGUAUUAUCUCAUGCUGAGUGUGCAUCUCAUGAUUCCAUCAUCACCUAUCUAUCACAUAUGAUCCUCAUGCUCUUUGGUUGUCAACCUUGUGGCCAUGUGUCACUACACGGUGAUGUUAUAUUCGAUAUAUUACUCUUUAUGCUGAAAAAAAAUUUGAUAGUUGAUCACUAGACUCAAAAUUCUACAUUCGUUAGUGGUGCGUUGGCCAUGUCUCGCCGCAUGAUAGUGUUAUAUUCAAUGUCACACCCUUCACCUGUCAGAUAAAGACUUUAAUAGUUCCUCCCAAAAUUUUAGACUUAAAUUCCACAUUAAUCACUUAUUCUCAAAAAAAAAAUCUGGUUAAGAUCGCAACCACUGCUUCGGUUACAAUUAUCCCUUCUAUUUUUAUAACAGAACAAAUAGGGUAAACAGUGUGCGAGUCGAUCAGUCGGUGGACUGCCUUCAUUCCACCGACUUACACCAUCAUGAGAUCCUCUUAAUUUUCAAAUUAUAAUAAUUAUAAUUUAAAAAAUAUGAAUAACAUUAAAUAAAAAUAAACAAAAAAAUCAGCCAUAACGCGUAAAGGUCAAAGUCAAAGUACCCAUGACCCAUGGACUGGGACACGUGGAGGCAAGAAAGCAUCACAACAGACUCGAGAACGAGCCCACUCGAUUGGACCAUUCAGGGCGGGAUUAAUUGAAAGAAACAACGAGCGAGACAGUCAGCAGGUCCACUAAACUGGAAGCAUUCUUCAUGCUUUGAAAUCAAAACAUGAGUCUAACAUGAUCAACCAAAUUGGACUCAACACUUGUGAUCGAGAAGAAUAGGGUGCCGCCAUGUUCGUACAAGUAAAUGGUUGAUGUGAUCCGGGAGAGAGCAAGGCAUAUAAAUGCUUCAUAACAAGGGAACGUCUCUUACAAGUUCUCCAUUGACAGGUUCUCUUCCUGCUUAGAAUUGGUCCAAUGUUUUCCGGCUUCCACAUACCUCAGGAAAUUGAGUAAAGAACUCUAUUUAAGCGACUUCAAGUCGGCACGACUCUCUUCGCAUCCAAUGUUAAUGUAGCGCUAUGAGCAAGGGAAGCAGAAGAGGGAACAAGCUGAUGCGGUACAUCAAGGCCCCUUAUCGAGCACUGCUUCGUGCCCGGGACUUGUACGUGAACAGCAUGGCCGGAUGCGCCGGCAGGGCCCAGCGCGGGCCGACGAUCAUCGCGAUGCCACGCGCCCAGAGCCGCAGCUUCCACCGCCCGCAAAUGAGCAGCGGCGAGGACGACAUCAACGAGCUCAUCCGCGCUGCGUCGAGGAGCAGGCUGCGGUCCGUCGAGGGAGCGGCGGUUCCGAGGAGUCACAGCGUGGCGGGGAUGACGAUUGACGAGGACAAGCCAUGCAACUUUGAGGGCGACGUCAAGGUGGCCUUGGGCCCGAGGAGCCGGAGCUGCGACGUCGUCUCCAAGAGGAGGGCGGGGUUUACAACAAACGCCGUAAGCAGCAUCCGAAGCUUCUAAUACCAAGAGUGGAAGCACCAAAUGCAGCAAUUCCAUGUCGUUGUGGUUUCUAUUACUCGUGUUCGUGAACUCGAUUCGAUACUUUCUCUCCUCUUCUUCUCCUGUCAUGUUUCUGUUCACUCGUGAAUGUUUGGGCUGCCUGCUUACCUCAUUCCAUCUACACGAACGGAAUGUUCAUAUGGCAUCUCGGUAUCAUUUCCCUCAAAAUUUGAGCCUACAUUUGAAGCAUUUUCAUUAUAUAUAUAUAUAUAUAUAUAUAUAUAUAUAUAUAUAUAUAUAUAUAUAUAUAUAUANNNNNNNNNNNNNNNNNNNNNNNNNNNNNNNNNNNNNNNNNNNNNNNNNNNNNNNNNNNNNNNNNNNNNNNNNNNNNNNNNNNNNNNNNNNNNNNNNNNNNNNNNNNNNNNNNNNNNNNNNNNNNNNNNNNNNNNNNNNNNNNNNNNNNNNNNNNNNNNNNNNNNNNNNNNNNNNNNNNNNNNNNNNNNNNNNNNNNNNNNNNNNNNNNNNNNNNNNNNNNNNNNNNNNNNNNNNNNNNNNNNNNNNNNNNNNNNNNNNNNNNNNNNNNNNNNNNNNNNNNNNNNNNNNNNNNNNNNNNNNNNNNNNNNNNNNNNNNNNNNNNNNNNNNNNNNNNNNNNNNNNNNNNNNNNNNNNNNNNNNNNNNNNNNNNNNNNNNNNNNNNNNNNNNNNNNNNNNNNNNNNNNNNNNNNNNNNNNNNNNNNNNNNNNNNNNNNNNNNNNNNNNNNNNNNNNNNNNNNNNNNNNNNNNNNNNNNNNNNNNNNNNNNNNNNNNNNNNNNNNNNNNNNNNNNNNNNNNNNNNNNNNNNNNNNNNNNNNNNNNNNNNNNNNNNNNNNNNNNNNNNNNNNNNNNNNNNNNNNNNUUUCCUUACAAUAAUAAUAAUGAUAAGAACCUUGCGUCCCAAGUAGGCUCACGUGAUUGACAUAAAUGACUCAAAUUGGGAACGGAUGAAAACUCCUCCUAUUGCAUGUUCAUGAAUCAGAUAUGGAUGAUAUGGCACCACUUUUCCAUUGCCGUCCCACGCACAUCAUCCACGGUUUCCACAGAGACUGGUAGAAGUAAAAUUGCCAACUCAUCUACCUCCCUCUAUCAAUAUAUAUUAUCUAAUCACGUUCUUGCAUCACGUGUUCUGCGACCAUCAACCGGAGACUUUGACAAUUAUGAACCAUUCCAACACGUCUAAAUACACGUAAGAUUCAUCGGGAUGGCAUAAUCUCUUGUUAAGUCAACGGGCUUUACCUCCCUUCUUUUAUAUGAAUUUUUUUCUGACUACUAAUUAUUAUGUAAAUAGUGAUCAAGAUAUCGAAUGCACCUAUAUAUACAUUACAUACCCAUACCCAGACCAACUCUGAACAGCCAUCAUGGCCGCCACCCACAUUGCCCUGUUCGCAUCCGGCCUCGCCGUCUUGCUUCUCCUAGUCCAAGGAUCGCCGCCAGGGCCCGUUGUCCGGUGCCGGUCCGGCAACACUAACUGCACCGUGACCAACGGCUAUGGAGCCUUUCCUGAUCGCAGCACCUGCCGCGUCGCCGCGGUCGCGUACCCUUCGACCGAACAGGAGCUCCUGUUAGCUGUCUCCGACGCCACCGAGAAGCAGCAGCACAUGAAGGCUGUCACGAUGUACUCCCACAGCAUCCCCAAGCUGUCGUGCCCCGGCGGGCCGAGCGGCCAGGGCCUGGUCAUUAGCACCCAGCUCCUCAACAGAUCGGUGAGCGUGGACAUGGCCACCUCGCGGAUGACGUUCGAGGCAGGGAUCACACUUAGGGCGCUCCUUGACGCGGCGGCCGCCCGUGGCCUGGCGCUACCCCACUCGCCGUACUGGCAAGGGAUCACGCUCGGCGGGCUGCUGAGCACCGGUUCGCAUGGGAGCUCGGUGUUCGGGAAGGGCUCGGCGGUGCACGAAUAUGUGGUAGGGAUGAGGCUGGUGGUUCCAAGUCCGGUACCGGUGAACGGGUACUACGCCAAGAUCGUUAAUCUUGGUGAGGAUAAUCCUGAUCUCUUGGCUGCCAAGGUUUCUCUCGGUGUUCUUGGAGUCAUUUCUCAGGUAUGUGUGUGGUGACCUACGUGUUGUUCUUUGUUCUUUACACGGUUUGAGAUCCAUGUGAUAACUCAUCUUAGUUCUUCAUGGUGGUUCUUCCAACCACGUCAAGUGCUUUCAUAAGCUGAGUACAUGACUCGCCACGUCUCGAUGCUAAUUAGGUGCAACUAUAUCUUUAAUUCUUCAUGAUAUAAUAGAGAUCAUCCUACUGUUAUUAGCAACGCUGAAUACAUCCUAUCGUCAGCAAAAUGUCGAGACAGAAAAAAAGAACUUGUUUUCUAUCAAAUCACUUUACAAAGGAAGACUUGUUCUUUUCCUCGAAUCUAGAAAGUUACGUAAAUAAUAGGCUGUUGAUGAUCCCAGUGGACUUUACUUUUAAUCUUUCCUUCUUUUCUUGCUUUGCUUGUCUUCCUUGUUUCAAAAAGGGCUGAUGCAAACCGUUGAACCGUUCUAAUGAUUCCAUGUACCUUCCCUCGUCGUUUAUCGUAACUACACAACAUAAUUGAGUGUUAUGGAACAUAUGAGCACAUGCAAACCCACAUAGACAAAGAUCAGAGAAAAAGCAAACUUUGCAAUAACAGCUACAGUGACGUUGAUGAUGACUCGGGGUAAAUGAGAGUGCCCCUUCCUUCACAUAUGGAGCCUCGCGCAAGGCAAGAGGCAGGCAGGUCCAUGCUGCCUUGCCUUGCAGAGCUUACGACCGGGCCCGCUAAUUGCCUUAAAAGCCUCAGUAACAAUUAUUAGGUUGAAGGACGAUAGGGGAUGUCAGUAGUAGUAGUUCUUGUUUCAGUCUUAUUGCCUGAAUAGCUGAAAAGAGUUGACUUGCAAUACAUGUAAGCUUUUGUUCUUCUGCUUCAUUAUAAGUAACCUAAGAAUUACUUGAACCGAUCGCGCAGGUCACCCUCCAACUUGAGCCAAUGUUCAAGCGAUCCAUCACCAACAGGGUCGUAAGCGACGUUGGCUUCGAGCAAACCAUCUCCUCGUACGCUGCCGCUACAUACUAUGGGGACAUCAGCUGGUAUCCGUCACAACGCAGAGUGGUGUACCGAGAUGAUAUCAAGGUCCCCAUCACCACCAAAGGAAAGGGUGUCAACGACUACUUAGGGUUCCGAGCUCAGCCCACCCUUGUCGUAGCCUCUCUACGUGCUUCAGGUCUUAUAAAUUGCAGUUUUUAUUUUGCUUGUCAAUCUUGAUGUAGUGUUCGAGAAGUAUUGUGAACACAUUUACAUCGACAUUUCGUCCGAGAUUUAUACUAAGAAGGCAUCUUUUGUCCUCUACCAUGUGUUUGUGUCAAUGACUGCAGAGGAACUAUUGGAAGCAACGGGAAAUGCGGAAGGCAAAUGUGUGCUGUUCAGAUUGCAAGUAGAUACUUUGAUUGCGAUCGGCAUGGGCUUUAAGAACAAUGACGGCGGCUUGUUAGAAUUCACUGGCUAUCCGGUCAUUGGAAACCAAAGCGACAUGCAAUCCGCUGGUAGGUUCUCAAAUUAUCCGAGGAAUGUCUGCAUGUAUGAAUGAUAACUCUUGACGAUAAUGCUUCAUCACAAUAAUGACACAUGUAAUGCCCGGAUUUAUUUAGUUUGAGUCAUCUUCUCUCCAGGUUCAUGCCUAAGGAGUGCAGAAGACAACCUUCUUACAGCCUGUGGCUGGGACCCUCGUUUUGCGGGGCUCUUCUACCACCAAACCACGAUAAGCAUCCCCUUCACCACCAUCGCUGGCUUCAUCGCCGACGUCAAGAAGCUCCGCGACGCCCAUCCCGACGCACUCUGCAGCACCGAGCUGUACUUGGGCUUCUUCAUGCGCUUCGUCCGCAACUCCACAGCUUAUCUUGGCAAAACCGACGACGUGGUGGACAUCGACAUCACAUACUAUCGUUCCAAGGAUCCAAAAAAGCCGCGACUCUACGAGGAUGUGCUCGAGGAGAUCGAACAGAUGGCCUUGUUCAAGUACAAUGCGCUGCCGCACUGGGGGAAGAAUAGAAAUGUCGGCUUCCUCAAUGUCAAGAACAAGCUGGGGGCUAAGUUGGACAAGUUUGUGAGUGUGAUGCAGAAGUAUGACAGCAAUGGAUUGUUCUCUUCAGACUGGACCGAUGCGGUACUGGGACUGCGAGGGAAGGAAGUUGUGGUGCAGGGUGAUGGUUGUGCACUGGAGGGGCUGUGCAUUUGCUCCACUGAUGACCACUGCGCUCCUAAACAAGGCUAUUAUUGUCGACCUGGAGAAGUCUACGAACAGGCUCGAGUGUGCAGGAAGAUUAAAUCCGUGGAAGCUGAUGGUUAGGUUUAUUUCUGUGUCGCUUCCUCUUCGAAUAAAGGAUGUAAUGUCAGUCAAUAAUUACUACAUAGUUUAUUAUUGUAAUAUUAAAGCAAGCGUCGAUAAAUGCAAUAUUGUAUGGGAGGCAGAUUGCAUUCCUCCUGAUUUAUCUGUGCAACUCCAAGAUGACUUAUGCAAGUCAUUCUAUAGAACUAUAAUGUGUUAAUAAAUUUCUUUUGGGCAAAAAAAUUAGGACAUAAUUUCUCAUUGUUUUUAAUUGCAAGAUCCCAUUGUGAAGGAAAGGAACACUCUCCAGUAUCCGUUGCAUGAAAGGGACGAGGAAGCAAGAAAUAACAGUGCCAUUAUUAAUGCCAUCGUGUGGAGAGACGUAGUAUGUUAACGCGAUAUUCUUCGCUAUCAUUCCUUAAAAUAAGAAUGAUGAUUAAUGAUAAUAACCUGCGACUCACGUAAACGUUCUGAUUAAUUUUACAUUAAUCACACUUGAACCACGUUUCGUGACACAAAUGACAUGGUAGUUCACACCGGUUGCAUUUCAAAUUUUUGACUCAAAGCUCGUCCUAUGGAUCGCGAGAAUAAACCAUAUGGUAAGAAGCUACGUAAAUAUGGAAAUCACAAAGAAUGGUGAUUACUGUAAUUAAGCCUUCCUCGAUCCCCCCCAACCCCAAGAAACUACUGCUCUCUCUAAAUAACUCUACGGCGCAGCAUCCAAUCUCCUUUUUGUUCCUUUCUCAUCCUCGUAAUAUAAUUUAGAGAUAGGAAGUGGUCGCGCCAUGAGCAAGGGAAACAGCAGCGAGAGCAAGCUGAGCCAGUGCAUCAAGGCCCCCGACCUGGCUCUGCGACAUACCCGGGACUUGUGCGAGAGCAGCAUGGCCGGGACUGAUAAUAUAUGUAUACACGAUAAUCUCAUGUAAGCUCGUUCAUCUACACCAAAUACUAGUUUUAGAUCGGGCAUGACAUCCUGAAGGAAUGAUUGUUUAAUUGACGACAGUGUUUAUUUACGUGUGGAUUUGACGUGCUUGUUUCCAUCUUUAAAAAGGAAAAUUCAAAUUCUUUUAAAAAAAAACUGUCAACUUAAUUUUUCAAAUAGCUCUUCAAAAAAUUCUCAUUGAGUAUUUUUUUUUUUCAAAAAGACUAUUCUAUAUCAAUCGGUCAUCGCCUCCGCCUCGUAUCACUUCUGAACACGUAUCAGAGUAUUUUUUUCAAAAAGUUUCUUCUAAGCGUGAGACAAUGUAUCACUUCUGAACACGUAUCAGAGUAAAUCCAGGCCAUUGCAGUUUGCAACUUCUUCUUUCUUUUCCUGAUCCAAUUCUUACAGUUGUUGGUGAUCAUCCGCAAUUUCUUCCCAGUAUAUGUUCCCCUUGUAGCUCAAGCAAUAUCCGAAGGUAACUUUAGCUAUAAAUUUCGUUUGGUUUGGAAGUUCAAGAAAAAAUAGUCACUCUUAUGUCCAAAGUUAUUGACAGAAAUGAGGUGGUCUCAUUAACUAUGCUUUGAUACUAUGGACUACGGUCAAGAAUUUGAAGCUGUCUGGCAACAUUUACAAGUGAGAAUGGAACGGAUAAAUGAAAUCAAAAGUACCCAUUUGGACUGCACAAGAAAAACCUUUAUGACUGACGUUUUGAACUGUUCAUAUGAGGUAGUCACUGUUAACUCACAUCCACGUUCAAGAAAAGGAUGUGCUACAGUCUCCUAGCGGUGGCAAUUCCAUGAUUGUCCACCGAGGAUGCUUAUUAUUCUUAUUCGCAAGCAGUUCGUCUGAGAAAUUAACUCAGAAGCCUCGUAUUGUGCUUCUGCUCAACCAAAGAAAGAGAUCAGAAGUGGAGAUAGAAGAUCCAUGGAGCAGGACGAUCCCAAUUACCUCUUCCAGGCCUAAAUUGUAGAGUAAGUUGAUCUCUGUCAUAACCAAGUCUUGGCAGCGAUCUCCAAAGAGUUCCAUGCAUCUCGGCCAUGUAGUCGGCAACGAAGCGACGUGAUGGCAUUGAAUUCAGUGUACUCUCUGUGCAGUCACCUUACUCGGCAUCCAUGCAACCGUUCUUCCUUUAUUUUCAAAGAUAAUGAUUACUGAUUUCUUCGAGGGGAAGUGCUUCUAAAUGUGCUCGUGCAAUUGAUUCUCUUCUCAAUCGAUCUUGAUGUGCCAUGCGAUCAAACUCACAUUACGGUGUUCGUGAACAGACGUUGAAGAUCAUGGAAGGAGUAUUUUGUUUGCUGUGAUUGUGUGGAGAGAAACACACGAGGCAAGGGAAGUCCCUGUGUAGUCGGAGAAGGCAACGGAUGGCUUGGCUUUUUCUUCCCUGUAAAGGUGGAAGACGAGAUGGCCAGAUGAUCUAAUAUUAUAUUGCAGUGUUGCGUCUGUCCGUGGUUGUAGGAGUGUCCUACAAAAACAAUAACAGCUUGUUACUAAGACAUGUUCUAUAAACAAUCAAAACAAUUAAAUAUUACACGCAUUAUAUUAAGACCAGCAGAAAAUGUCUUACGUGAUUAAGUAAUUUAGUAUCUGAUAUGGGACUGACAUAUAAAUCAAAUUCUUUUAAAGUAGAAGAAUCUGAAAUAUUUUUUCUUUGUUUUUCUCAAAUAACCUAUUCAAUCUUAUUUCAUAUGCGAACCCAUUAGUUCAUCAAAUAAAAAUAUAGAUAAAUCUUUUGACUCUUAUAACAAUAUGAUCAAAUUUCGGAGUUAAACUUUUCAAAACUUUUAUAACAAUUAUAUGAUAAGGAAGAUGUACACCAUAAAAUUUUAUUUAACUAACAAUAUCAAUCACUUGUGAAAGAAAAUCUUACAUCGAUUCAUUAUUUUUCAUGAAUAAAUUUUAAAUUCACCACGAAGGGUUUAAAGUUUUACUGUAAUCACCCUUGUUGAGCCUUGAAAUUCAUUUUGAAGUAUCAAUCAAACUUGCUUUAAGGUUAUUGCUAUUGUAAUUCUUGAGAAAAUUAUUUCAUGUAUAGCUUGUUGAAUGAACAACAAUGCCUUUGAGUUCUUAUUUCUAUUCUUCCUCAGCCUGAUUUUUUUAUGUAGACCUACAUAUCCAUUCUCUAUUAAGUCCCAAAGAUCUUGAGACUUGAAUAAAAUAUUUAUCUUGAUACUCUAAAAUUCAUAGCAUUUGUCCGAGAAGAUGGAAAUAAGGGGUUGAGACAUAAAAUUAUUAUUAAAAGUCAUAAUACCCAAUUCGGAUUGAAAACUUAGCUAUGAUACCAUAAAUGUUGAGGAUGAAGGAAUAAGGAAAUGAUAAAAACAGAAUACUAUGAUAUAAUUAAAAAAAAUAUUUUGAUCAAGAAAAUCGUUGUAGUAUUUAAAUAAGAUAUAAGAUAUGAACACUUACAAGAUAUUCUCAAGUGCACACUCUUUAUCUUAUUUCAUGAAUUAAGGUCUUAUUUAUAGGACAUAGUGGUAACUACCUCACUCCAUCAUGUCACCCGUGAUUGAAUUAGGUGUAGAAACUACCUUAUAAUUUUUAGAUCAUGGGUCAUUAUUUAAAAUAUGUCCACAACUAUUUAAAACAUGAUAACUAUCUAGAUAACUACUAUGAAUCAUUAAUUUUACGUUACUGUUUUCUUCGAGCGGAAGUGCUUCUAAAUGUGCUCGUGCAAUUGAUUAUCUUCUCAAUCGAUCUUGGUGUGCCAUUCGAUCAAACUCACGGUAUGGUGUUCGUGAACAAACGUUGAAGAUCAUGGAAGGAGUUUUUUUUUUGCUUGCUUGACGUAAUUGUGUGGAGAGAAACACACGAGGCAAGGGAAGUCCCUGUGUGGCCGGAGAAGGCAACGGAAGAUCAAGUGCAAGACAACCGAUGGCUUGGCUUUUUCUUCCCUGUAAAGGUGGAAGACGAGAUGGAUAGAUGAUCUAAUAUUAUAUUGCAUUGUUGAGGGUAUCCAAUCAUUGUACAUCUGUCCGUAGCCGUAGGAGUGUCCUAAAAAAGCAAUAACAGCUUGUUACUAAGACAUGUUUUAUAAACAAUCAAAACAAUUAAAUAUUACACGCAUUAUAUUAAGGCCGGCAGAAAAUGACUACUACUUUUCGAUACUCUCUUGUGUUGUGCUUACGUGAUUAUAGUAUGAUAUGAGACUGACAUAUGACCAACACUUCAGUAACGUACGACCUACACCUCAACCGGAGGAUCUCAUCCAAGCAAUGCAUAGUAGGCACUUUGACACUCAACGGUAGGAAUCUAAAGCUCUUCAACCCCUAAUGUAUGGAAUUUGAGGUGACUUCGUAAUUUUCUUUUACAAAUUUUAAUAAAUAUAUAUUUCUCUCUAAAUAUUAUUAUCAUUCAAAUAAAUCCUUCACAUUAACGUUCUUUAAAAAGAAACCAAGAUAACCACAAUAAUCAUGGUUUUCUUCAAUUGACCAUUUGACUUCAAACCAAUUUUUAACAUAAAAUAUUUUAUAUAUCUUACUAUCUUAAUAAGGCUUGUAAAAUGUAUCAAUGUCGCUCUAAUGGUGAAAUAACAGACAUGGAGAAUAAUUUUACAGUCUCCAUAUAUAAAUAAAAAAAUCACUCUAUGUAUAAGAACACACAAAGGUAUAAUUACACUAAAAACAAUACAAUUAUCGAUGCCCCUCGCAAAAAUAUUUUAUAUCGGUUGUAUUUAAUCGGCUCACGUCGAUCAAGGUUUGUGUUUUGUCGUUAAAUCAAUCAAGUUGUCCAUUUGAUAUCAUUCAUUUACGUGCAUUUGUCCAUCAAAUAAUAAUAGUUGGACCAUGAGUUGGCUAUCUUAUCUUCCUGCCCAUCAAAACCCUUCCAUGAUGUGGCAUCGAAUAAACUUACGAUUAAAACAUGAUGAAUCAACCCUUACAAUUUAUAACAAAUAAUUGGACCGAUUCUUCCAAAUUUUAUAGUCCCAUCGUGAGGGAUGCAUGACCAAACAACCUCGCCCACAGCAUUUGACGCAGCCAUCACUAACCUUAUCGCUUUUAAAUGCAUAGUAUGGUAAAAAUAAUGAUAAUAAACUCGCGUCACAAGUUGAUAUUUUUAUUGGUUUUAGUCAAUUUCCACUUGAAGCACGUGAAUGACGUAAAUGACAUUACAGUUCGCAUUGCGUACGCAUCUAACUCUUUUGACUGGAAGCUCCUCCAAUUGCAUGUCCAUGAAUCAGAUAUGGAUGAUAUGGUACCACUUUUCCAUUGUCUUCCCACGCACAUCAUCCACGGUUUCCACACAGACUAGUAGAAGUAAAAUUGCCAACUCAUCUACCUCCAUCUAUCAAUAUAUUAUAUAAUCUCGUUCUUGCAUCGCGUGUUCUGCGACCAUCAACCGGAGACAUUAACAAUUAUGAGCCAUUCCAACACGUCUAAGUACACGUCAGAUUCAUCGGGAUGGCAUAAUCUCUUGAUAAGUCAAUGGGCUUUACCUCCCUUAUUUUAUCUGAAUUUUUUUCUGACUGUGUAAACAAAUUCACCUAUAUAUACAGACAUGCCCGGAUCAACUCUGGACAACCAUCAUGGCCGCCACCCACAUUGCCCUGUUCGUUUCCGGCCUUGCCGUCUUGCUUCUCCUCGUCCAAGGAUCGCCGCCAGGGCCUGUUGUCCAGUGCCGGUCUGGCAACACUAACUGCACCGUGACCAACGGCUAUGGAGCCUUUCCUGAUCGCAGUACCUGCCGCGUCGCCGCGGUCGCGUACCCUUCGAACGAACAGGAGCUCCUGUUAGCUGUCUCCGACGCCACCGUGAAGCAGCAGCACGUGAAGGCGGUCACGGUGUACUCACACAGCAUCCCCAAGCUGUCGUGCCCCGGCGGGCCGAGCGGCCAGGGCCUGGUAAUCAGUACCCAGCGCCUCAACAGAUCGGUGAGCGUGGACUUGGCCACCUCGCGGAUGACGUUCGAGGCAGGGAUCACACUUAGGGCGCUCCUUGACGCGGCGGCCGCCCGUGGCCUGGCGCUGCCCCACUCGCCGUAUUGGCAAGGGGUGACGCUGGGCGGGCUGCUGAGCACCGGCUCACACGGGAGCUCGGUGUUCGGGAAAGGCUCGGCGGUGCACGAAUAUGUGGUAGGGAUGAGGCUGGUGGUUCCAAGUCCGGUCCCGGUGAACGGAUCCUACGCCAAGAUCGUUAAUCUUGGUGAGGACGAUCCUGAUCUCUUGGCUGCCAAGGUUUCUCUCGGUGUUCUUGGAGUUAUUUCUCAGGUAUAUAUGCGGUGACCUACUUGUUAUUCUUUGUUCUUUACACGGUUUGAGAUCCAUGUGAUAACUCAUCUUAGUUCUUCACGGUGUUUCUUCCAACCACGUCGAGUACUUUCAUAAACUGAGUACAUGACUUGCUACGUCUCGAUGCUAAUUAGGUGCAACUCUAUAUUUAAUUGUUCAUUCUAUUGUUAGUAUCAAGACUUUGUUUGCACUACGUCAGCAAAAUGUCGAGACAAAAAAAAACUUGUUUUCAGUCAAAUCACUUUGCGAAGGAAGACUUGUUCUUUUCCUCCAAUAUAUAAAGUUAUGUAAAAUAAUUGGCAGUUGAUGAUCCCAAUGGACUUUAGUUUUAAUCUUCCCUUCUUUUCUUGCUUUGCUUGUAUUCCUUUUUUGAAAAUGGGCUAAUGCAAACGUUUGAAUCGUUCUAUUGAUUCCAUGUACCUUCCCUCCUAGUUUGUAGUAACUACAUAGCACAGUUGAGUGUUAUGGAACAUAUGAGCACAUUCAAACCCACAUGGACAAAGAUCAGAGAAAAAGCAAACUUAAAUGAGAGUGAAGGCAUGAUUUGAAGCCAUCAUUUUACAUCUAUGGUUGUUCCAUCUAGUUAUAUCUUAUAGAUGUAGAGUUUUUUUCUUGGAAGAACAGCUACAGUGACGUUGAUGAUGACUCGGGGUAAAUGAGAGUGCCCCUUCCUUCACAUAUGGAGCCUCGCGCAAGGCAAGAGGCAGGCAGGUCUACGCUGCCUUGCCUUGCAGAGCUUACGACCGGGCCCGCCAUUGCCUUAAAAGCCUCAGUAACAAUUAUUAGGUUGAAGGACGAUAGGGGAUGUCAGUAGUAGUAGUUCUUGUUUCAAUCUUGUUGCCUGAAUAGCUGAAAAGAGUUGGUUUGCAAUACAAGUAAGCUUUUGUUCUGCUGCUUCAUUAUAAGUAACCUAAGAAUUACUUGAACCGAUCGCGCAGGUCACCCUCCAACUUGAGCCGAUGUUCAAGCGAUCCAUCACCAACAGGGUCGUAAGCGACGUUGGCUUCGAGCAAACCAUCUCCUCGUACGCUGUCACUACUCACUAUGGAGACAUCAUCUGGUAUCCAUCACAAGGCAGAGUGGUGUAUCGAGAUGAUAUCAAGGUCCCCAUCACCACCAAAGGAAAGGGUGUAAACAACUUCUUAGGGUUCCGAGCGCAGCCCACCCUUGUCAUAGCCUCUACACGUGCUUCAGGUGUUAUAAAUUGCAGCUUUUAUUUUGCUUGACAAUCUUGAUGUAGUGUUCGAGUAGUAUCGUACUUGAUUUAUACUAACAAGGCAUCUCUUGUCCUCUACGAUGUGUUUGUGUUUAUGACUGCAGAGGAACUAUCGGAACUAACAGGAAAUGCCGAAGGCAAAUGCGUGCUGUCCAGAUUGCAAGCGGAUACUCUGAUUGCGACCGGCAUGGGCCUUAAGAACAAUGAUGGCGGCUUGUUAGAUUUCACCGGCUAUCCGGUCGUUGGAAACCAAAGCGACAUGCAAUCCGCUGGUAGGUCCUCAAAUUAUUCCAGGAAUGUAUAUAAUGACACAUGUAACACCUGAAUUAUUUAGUCUGAGUCAUCUUCUCUCCAGGUUCAUGCCUACGGAGUGCAGAAGACAAACUUCUCACGGCUUGUGGAUGGGACCCUCGUUUUGCGGGGCUCUUCUACCACCAAUCCGCGAUAAGCAUCCCCUUCACCACCAUCGCUGACUUCAUCGCCGACGUCAAGAAGCUCCGCGACGCCCACCCCAACGCACUCUGCGGCACCGAGCUGUACUUGGGCUUCUUCAUGCGCUUCGUCCGCAGCUCCACAGCCUAUCUUGGCAAAACCGACGACGUGGUGGACAUCGACAUCACUUACUAUCGUUCCAAGGAUCCAAAACGGCCGCGACUCUACGAGGAUGUGAUCGAAGAGAUCGAACAGUUGG